RNAcentral lists this transfer RNA (73 nucleotides) under Marmota monax (woodchuck). Its description in RNAcentral is "tRNA.Asp". The record is from RNAcentral. Lineage: Eukaryota; Metazoa; Chordata; Mammalia; Rodentia; Sciuridae.
UGAGGAUGUAGCUCAGUGGUAGAACAUCUGCCUAUCAUGCCCAGAGCCCUGGAUUUGAUCCCCAGCACCACAA